RNAcentral lists this ribosomal RNA (2455 nucleotides) under Euglena geniculata. RNAcentral's name for it is "bacterial SSU rRNA". It matches the Rfam family "Eukaryotic small subunit ribosomal RNA". Lineage: Eukaryota; Euglenozoa; Euglenophyceae; Euglenales; Euglenaceae. The record is from RNAcentral.
UCUGCCAGUAGUCAUAUGCUCCGUUCGAGGACUCAAGCCAUGCAUGUCUCAGCGCAAACGGAACAACAGUGGAUCUGUGAAUGGCUCCUUACAUCAGCAGUCAUCCCGGUGACAAAGUGUGUGGUUGGCAACCACCUGUCACAGCGCAGGCCAGGUUGCCCAGUUGGACAUCCACGAAAACCUUGUGGCUAAUACACGUCUGCCAAGGUCGGCUGUGUUCACACAGGCCCUCUCAGCGAUUGGCUGUCACCUGUGCAGUCGGUUGCUACCAGCCGGUCGAAAGACCAGGCACCCGCGAGAGGGUAGCGUGUCACGGUUGAUUCAGGCUGGUCCACCUCUGGAAGGGACACACCAGCGCUGGCUGUGAUAUGGUUGGUGGCCUUCGUGCCACCUGUCAAGCUUGGUCACAGGAACUUCUGACCUAUCAGCUCGGAUUGUGGUGUCGUGGACCACAAUGGCCUUGACGGGUAACGGAGAAUCAGGGUUCGAUUCCGGAGAGGGAGCCUGAGAAACGGCUACCACUACCAAGGUGGGCAGCAGGCGCGCAAAUUGCCCAAUACAAAAUCAGUCUGUGAGGCAGCGAAGAACUGUAGCAAUCCCGCUGGAUCAUCAUCCAGUGGGACUUGGAAUGGAUGCAAUCCAAACACAGUGACGAGUAUCAACUGGAGGGCAAGUCUGGUGCCAGCAGCUGCGGUAAUUCCAGCUCCAAGGGCGUAUACUAUCAUUGCUGCUGUUAAAACACCUGUAGUCUGCCACUGGGUCGCAGGGCUGUUGAGUGGCCCGUCCAGGCGUGACGUCUCCGCGGUACGCGGUGUGGAAGGGCUUCGGCCCGGAAGCGCCGUGUUUCCUGUGGCGGCCCGCGUCGGGACGGGGGAAAACCCUCAGCAGCAUGUCCUGUGCCCGCUUCUCGAUGACGGUGUGACUCGCUCCUGCCGAAAGCCCCCUUCAGUGGAGGCCGAAAGGUGGUUGUGCCUUGAAAGCAGGCGUGGACGCAUCCUGGCCACGACCCUCGGUGGGCGUGCAAGCAAAAGCCAGUGUCCACCACCGGAGCCGACUGUCAGUGACACCCUGGAAAACUCAGUGUGCUCAAAGCGUCCACACACGGCUGGAUGUCCAUCCAGGGAACGUCAAAGCAUCGACCGAGCAAGGAACGAGGAGUUGUGCUGGUCUUGGUGCCUGCUUCGGGCAAUGUGGUGCAUGGUCUAAACCGGUCCCUGCGGUGUCGUGGACGUGUCUGUGGUGGGCCUGUCGUCUUCGGGCGGCAGCAACCCGCCCUCUCGCGCUCCUGCGUCGCAAACCGGGCUUCUGAGUGUGUAUCAAGCGAAUCUGACGGGACCGUUCGGGGUGAAAGGAACUGCAGCGCCAGAGGUGAAAUUCUUAGAUCGCUGCAAGACCCACGGCAGCGAAGGCGUUCUGCAAGGACGUGUUCGUCGAUCAAGGAUGAGAGUCUGGGGAGCGAAGAUGAUCAGACACCGUCGUAGUCCAGCACUGUAAACGAUGCCAGCAAGGCCUCGGCUGGGAAAGUCCAACAGACCCAGCCGGUGCCAUGCCCCCUACACCGAGAAAUCCACAGCCUGUGGGUUCAGGGGGGAGUACCGUCGCAAGGCUGAAACUUAAAGGAAUUGACGGAAUGGCACCACAAGGUGUGGAGUAUGCGGCUUAAUUUGACUCAACACGGGGAAUGUUACCAGGUCAGGACACAGCCGGGAUGGACAGAUUGAGAGCUCUUUCUUGAUCCUGUGGACGGUGGUGCAUGGCCGCUCCUGAUUGGUGGAGUGAUUUGUCUGGUUGAUUCCGAUAACGAGUGAGAUCUCUGCCUCCCAAUAGCCAGGGGCUCGCAUCUGGUAGGGCCUGUCUCCCGGAGGGAACCCCGCAUCCAACGGCGCGUCGUCGUCGUCGUGCUCUCGUCCGAACCCUCCUCACGGGGGGCGAGGGCGUUGGCCGGCGGUCGGUGGCGUGUCGGUGGGGGAAAGCCCGGGAACACCCGAGAGCCUUUCUCUGUUCAGCUUCUCUGAGGUGCUGCGUACACUGCCAAGUGCGCGCAUGCUAGAGCCAACAGCAGGUCUGUGAUGCUCCCAGAUGUCCUGGGCCGCACGCGCACUACAUUGACACAGUGAAUGAGUCACACGCCCCACUCUGUUGGGCCCUGGCCGGAAGUGGUCGGGAAAUCUUGCGAAUCUGCUGUCGUACUGGGGAUAGAUGAUUGCAACUGUCUGCCUUGAACGCGGAAUACCUAGUAUGCGCAGGUCAUCAGCCUGCACAGAUUGUGUCCCUGCCAUUUGUACACACCGCCCGUCGUUGCUACCGAUGGUAGCUGGAUAGAACCAUCAGGAGGUCAGGCCACUUCCCCGGACGUGACGUGCCGCGGUUCGCCGUGCGUACGCCUGCGCUCCAUGGGCCAAGCUGAAAUUGGGUAAUGUCCAGCUGCUAGAGGAAGCAAAAGUCGUAACAAGGU